AUACGGAGGGUGCAAGCGUUACUCGGAAUCACUGGGCGUAAAGCGCGCGCAGGCGGGCUGAUAAGUUGGAUGUGAAAGCCUACGACUCAACCGUAGAACUGCAUCCAAAACUGUCAAGCUAGAGUCUGGGAGGGGAAGAUGGAAUUAGUUGUGUAGGGGUAAAAUCCGUAGAGAUAACUAGGAAUACCAAAAGCGAAGGCGAUCUUCUGGAACAGUACUGACGCUGAGGCGCGAAAGCGUGGGGAGCAAACAGGAUUAGAAACCCCAGUAGUCC
This 274-nucleotide ribosomal RNA is filed under the name uncultured bacterium. Its description in RNAcentral is "partial 16S ribosomal RNA". It matches the Rfam family "Bacterial small subunit ribosomal RNA", at positions 523 to 796 of the family's 1533-position model. The record is from RNAcentral.